GAUGAACGCUGGCGGCGUGCUUAACACAUGCAAGUCGAACGAUGAAGCCCAGCUUGCUGGGUGGAUUAGUGGCGAACGGGUGAGUAACACGUGAGUAACCUGCCCUUAACUCUGGGAUAAGCCUGGGAAACUGGGUCUAAUACCGGAUAGGAGCGUCCACCGCAUGGUGGGUGUUGGAAAGAUUUAUCGGUUUUGGAUGGACUCGCGGCCUAUCAGCUUGUUGGUGAGGUAAUGGCUCACCAAGGCGACGACGGGUAGCCGGCCUGAGAGGGUGACCGGCCACACUGGGACUGAGACACGGCCCAGACUCCUACGGGAGGCAGCAGUGGGGAAUAUUGCACAUGGGCGCAAGCCUGAUGCAGCGACGCCGCGUGAGGGAUGACGGCCUUCGGGUUGUAAACCUCUUUCAGUAGGGAAGAAGCGAAAGUGACGGUACCUGCAGAAGAAGCACCGGCUAACUACGUG
This 465-nucleotide ribosomal RNA is filed under the name uncultured bacterium. RNAcentral describes it as "partial 16S ribosomal RNA". It matches the Rfam family "Bacterial small subunit ribosomal RNA", at positions 28 to 507 of the family's 1533-position model. The record is from RNAcentral.